CAUGGUUUCUUGUUGAAACUUAGGAAACAACAGGCCAAGGACAGUGCUUUACUGCUGCACUACAGCAGCAAUAGUUCCGUCUCCCUGACUUUCUCCUCCCCUUUCCUGGGCCCUCUUCCCUCCCAAAGCCCAGAACCACGCUUUCUCUGAACUUUCCUUCUCUACCUAAGGCCACAGCCAGCAAAGCAGGACCUUUCUGAACUAUGAUUCACCAUGGAAGAUUGAAUUUGUAUCACACAAAAGGAGACUGAAAAGCAAACACCACGCCCAGAGGCCAGAGGAGUCUGUCCAGGGGGUUGUGUAUUCUGCAGCAUCAAUGCUCAUUUAUUCCCCUUUAUUGCCUAUAGCCCAUAUACUAGGGUAGCUCAGCCCUAGGCAUCUGCUGCUUUCUUCAGUUUCACAUUCUGUGUGUCCCGCGUUCGUGUGCUUCCUCAAACACGGGUUUAACUUUUCUCCUGUGAGUUCUUGUCAAUAAACUGCAUCAGAACGAAAUCACAGACCUUCAGAGGGAAUGUUCCCAUGCCCUCAGCCUCGCUUUGGUGUCAGAAUGAUGCUGGUGUCAUAACAGGCUGAGAGCCAUUUGGGCACAGGGACUGGGAGGCUGGGCCUGCAGCUGUCCGAUGGAACCUGGAAGCCGCGUGGAGCUGGGCAUCUCUGCCUUCAGGUAUUUCUGUGUCUGUCUCUUUAUGACCUUAAAACUUCAGGUCAGAUCCCUGCUCAACUCUGCACUUAGGCUGUUAAUCACCUGAGGAUGAUCACAAGGUCAUCUCCCUGCCAGCCUUCACAGUACUCAGUUCUGUCGCAGGGUGGUUUCUGGAUGUCUGCACAUCAUCACCUGAGAGGGCCACGUGUCUGGACCAUGAGGCGGUGGCUCCGGUCGCGGGGUCAUUGUCCCUGCUUGGGAGGAGCCCUCGGCACUGGCUGGACUGGGAGCUUCCACUUUUCCUGGGAUCCGAGGUACAAAAUAAGCAGUUAAAAAUAUAAUGAACUGCUGAAUCCUGGCCCUUUGCUACACCAUAGUUAAGAAGCCCUGGGAACUCAAACAGUACAUGUUCACUCACCCCAUUCCCUCCCAGACCCUUCUCUUCUGUAGAGCACACAGUAUGUGCAUCAGAGGAGAAACGGAAAAGUGUCAAGCCUAAAACCUAGAUAAAGACCCACUGUUGGCAGGAGAUGAUAAAAGAAAAAUCACUCUACACCUACAGAAGGCACAGGAAAUACAACGACCCCAGAUGUGUUACUAUUAGGACAGGUUUCACUUCGGCAGGCAGAUGCGGGAAGCUCUCUUGCACCAGACCAGCCCCAAACACCUGGCACCCUUGUUUGCCCUCAAGAAGGAGGAGGACAUUAUGGUGCAGACUCGGGGCACACAGGGCUAAUGAGACCUGGGGACCCGGGACAAACAAGGACACCUUGCCUUCCACUAGCAAGCUGUUGAGCAACGGCAGGCUGUGAUUUCAGGUCUAGUAUGUAAAGUGUGGAAGUCACACCUCCAACCUCAUAAGAAAAAGAAACACUGAACAAACUGAAACCCACCAGCCCUUCUUAGAUCCAUUAGGGAAAAAUCACAGGGUAGACGACAGCCCGAGUCCUGGGGAAAGUGGUGUUCACAAGGAGCCACGCUUGCCAGGAGCAGAAGCUCGGGGGCACAAGUGAACCAUGAGCACCUGUGGGCCCUGGACCGUGACUCAGGAAUUCAAGUCCACGUGAGAGAACAGCAGGCGAAUGGUGAACAGACCAGUGCAUCUAUCCAUGUGAGCCAUCAAAAAAUGCAAUCUCUUGCAAAUGGGAAGGAGACCGAUAGAUGGGGGGAAGAAGAACUAAGAUGUGUCACGCACAUGUGCCAAUCCCCCUGAUGAAUGCAAUCAUUGUGUAUAACAAAUAUCUAUUCAUAAAAAUAAAAAUUAGAAAAUGAGGUGUCAAGCACUGAAAAGACAUAGAGGAUUCCUAAAUGCAUAUUACUAAGCAAAAUACCCAAAUAUGAAAAUGCUACACAGGCUAUGAUUCCAAAUACAAGGAGUGAUCGAGGAUUCAAAGAUCACUCAGAGAAGUUCAAAAUCUAUGAUUAAUUGGCUAAAAACAUGUAGUGGAACAUGGGAAAGUAUGUAUAAAAUAAUGAAUUAUGAAUUUCAGCAGAUGCAUGAAAACUGCAAAAGUACUCUGAAGAAAAUGAUAGAAAUAAAUAUACAAAAUUGGAAAUCAAUUUUUUCACAGGCUUAUUGGUAGUCUCAAAUUUGCUAAGAAAAAAUAAGUGAAUUUGAAAAUACGACAACAGUAAUUACCUAAACUGAAAGACAGAAAGAGAAACAGAAGGGAUUUUUAAGGAGAAUUUAGCAGUACUGGACAAUACAAAAUGUUCUACUGUAUUCAGAGUACCGAAGACAAAAGGGAGAAAAGUUACAGAAAAGUAAAUAGUUGAGAAUUUUUUAAAAAGUACUGAGAGAUAUGAAAUCACAGCCCCAAGAGUUUCAGAGAUUAACAAGGGGAGAAAAAUGUUUCCUGCACAGCAUUGUAAAGAGUUACAAAGAGAAGAGAGACGUUGGAAGAUAGGAAGAAAAAGACGACACAUUAUACACAGAAAGGCAAUGGUCGGUACUAGAGUACACUUCUAGUUAGAAGCUAUGAAAAAUAAAAGAGAAGGUAACAUCUUUACAGUACUGAAAAUAAAAUACUAAAACAGAAUUCUGUACUCAGUAAAAAUGUCUCUCAAAAAUGAAGGUGGAGUAGUAGUCCCAAAACAAGCAAAUUAAAACAGUAUUUACUUUCUGAAGAUCUGAAUUAAUGUAAUAUUAAAGACUUUCAUCACAAGAAAUAAAAUAUUAGAUAGAAACUCAGGUUUAUACAAAGUGAAUAGUUUCAUAAAUGGUGACUACAAAGAAAACUUGAAAAUUGCUCUCAGUUUUAAUUGAUUGAACAGGUAACUAACAAAUAGCGCUAAGAAUGUUUUGAGUAAUAUUUUAUGAACUCUACAUGAACAUUCAUGACAACACAAUACAAUGUGAGGGUGAAACUGAGAGAAUAUUAUAUUAUAAAGCUAUUACAUUAUAAAUGACAUGGUGUAACAUGUUUAAAAUGGGACAGUAAGAAAUUUAACUUUUUAUUACAAAACUUAAGAAAUACUAAAAAAACAAAAAAGAUUGGUAACUAAUAGGGCAUACUGGAGAUAAAUUAAAUCACAAAAAUAGUCCAUUAAUCCAGAAGAAGACAAAAAAAGAGAAAAAGAACAGAAUAGAUGAAAAAUCAGUAUUCAUCAAGAUGGUAGAUUUACACAUUAAUCAUUUACUUAAAUGUAAAUGUAAAUGGUGUAAACAUAAACACUAAAUGAUAUUUUUUUAAUCAAGUAAAAACAAGACCAA
Molecule: non-coding RNA, 3356 nt
Organism: Heterocephalus glaber (naked mole-rat)
Lineage: Eukaryota; Metazoa; Chordata; Mammalia; Rodentia; Bathyergidae
Source: RefSeq, a predicted model, not a curated record